CACGGGGGGAGCAAGCGUUGUUCGGAAUCACUGGGCGUAAAGGGCGUGUAGGCGGUCAGGUAAGUGAGACGUGAAAUGCCCCGGCUUACCCGGGGACCUGCGUCUCAUACUGCUUGGCUUGAGUACGGGAGAGGGUGUGGGAAUUCCCAGUGUAGUGGUGAAAUACGUAGAGAUUGGGAAGAACACCAGUGGCGAAGGCGGCUAUCUGGACGGUUUCUGACACUAAGACUCGAAAGCGUGGGGAGCAAACAGG
Molecule: ribosomal RNA, 253 nt
Filed under: uncultured bacterium
Lineage: Bacteria
Description: partial 16S ribosomal RNA
Rfam family: Bacterial small subunit ribosomal RNA
Source: RNAcentral